RNAcentral lists this ribosomal RNA (485 nucleotides) under uncultured Methanolinea sp. RNAcentral describes it as "bacterial SSU rRNA". It matches the Rfam family "Archaeal small subunit ribosomal RNA", at positions 858 to 1338 of the family's 1478-position model. The record is from RNAcentral. Lineage: Archaea; Methanobacteriati; Methanobacteriota; Methanomicrobia; Methanomicrobiales; Methanoregulaceae.
CUACAAAGGAAUUGACGGGGAGCACCACAACGGGUGGAGCCUGUCGGUUUAAUUGGACUCAACGCCGGGCAGCUCACCGGAUAAGACAGCUGGAUGAUAGCCGGGCUGAAGACUCUGCUUGACUAGCUGAGAGGAGGUGCAUGGCCGUCGUCAGUUCGUACUGUGAAGCAUCCUGUUAAGUCAGGCAACGAGCGAGACCCACGCCCACAGUUGCCAGCGUACUCUCCGGAGUGACGGGUACACUGUGGGGACCGCCGCUGCUAAAGCGGAGGAAGGAAUGGGCAACGGUAGGUCAGUAUGCCCCGAAUAUCCCGGGCUACACGCGAGCUACAAUGGUUGGUACAAUGGGUAUCUACCCCGAAAGGGGACGGGAAUCUCCUAAAACCAAUCUUAGUUCGGAUUGAGGGCUGCAGCUCGCCCUCAUGAAGCUGGAAUCCGUAGUAAUCGCGUUUCAACAGAACGCGGUGAAUACGUCCCUGCUCCUU